GAGACAGGUGGUGCAUGGUUGUCGUCAGCCCGUGUCGUGAGAUGUUGGGUUAAGUCCCGCAACGAGCGCAACCCUUGUGUUUAGUUGCAAACAGGUCAAGCUGUGCACUCUAGACAGACUGCCGUGGACAACACGGAGGAGGGUGGGGGAUGACGUCAAAUCAUCAUGCCCCUUAUGAUCUGGGCUACACACGUGCUACAAUGGCCGGUACAACGGGCAGCGAAGGAGCGAUCCGGAGCGAAUCCUAAAAAGCCGGUCCCAGUUCGGAUUGCAGGCUGAAACUCGCCUACAUGAAGUUGGAGUUGCUAGUAAUCGCGAAUCAGAAUGUCGCGGUGAAUGCGUUCCCGGGUCUU
Molecule: ribosomal RNA, 353 nt
Filed under: uncultured Fusibacter sp.
Lineage: Bacteria; Bacillati; Bacillota; Clostridia; Eubacteriales; Fusibacteraceae
Description: bacterial SSU rRNA
Rfam family: Bacterial small subunit ribosomal RNA
Source: RNAcentral